AUAGCAACAACAACAACAACAACAAAAAAGACAAAAGACAAAAAAAAAAAAAAAAGAAUCUUGCUUUGUCCCCGCCAGACUUUCAAAGCCACGUAGCCCUUUGUUAUCAGGACUCUCACCUUCAUAAAACGCUGGUACAGGUCCUCCAAAUCAGAGCAAAUGUGAUGGUGGGAGUGGGGGCAGGUUUUGCAGAAAAAGAAUUUCUCUUCGGCAACAGUUUCAUCCCCUGGGAUAAAGGCUGCUGUGUUGCUGGCCUAGACCCUUCCUGCUUUUAAGGGUUCCUUUCUGGGACUCUACCCCAGGCAACGUGAGAACGAGGGGGAAAAAAAUUUGCCCCACAUCAAGGCUCUGCCUCUCUAGCUAUUUGAAUUUUUCUCGAGAUUUUUCGAUGAAUGCCGUUCAAGGUAAUGCAUUUUCAAAAGAAAACCUGUCAUGCUGACUGCUCAGCUCAAUCGACCUCUAUGAACUUCCCUUUUGGGUUCUCCAGAUCCUCAGUGUACCUUACUACUCGAAAUUGAACGAGAGGGCAUUUCAGGGGAUCAGUCAAAGAUAACAGGAAGGUUCUGAGCUUUUAUGGUUUAAAAGAAUGCUGUUUUCAGAAACAGAGAACAAGAGCCCUAUUAUGAGCCUUUAAUUAUUUCUAUGAAUACAUUACAAACUCCUCCAUCACUAGACUGUAAUAACUAAAAACUACCUUAGAAUGACAUUUAAAUGAAUUUCAUUCCAUGAAAAUGAGAGCUUAAAAUCAGCCGGGCAAACAAUGGCAUUUUGCUUUCCUAUUGGCUCCUCGAAACUAUUGCUCCAUCAAAACAUCAGAAGAGUCUUGUUCCUGUCAUGUAAGACAUGAAAUGAACAUAACUUCCAUCCUGGUUCCAAAACCUUAGUUAGGUAAUAUGCCGGGGCCACUCCAGCUACUUCAAGGAUAUUGUGAAAUCUCUUCAAAAAAAAAAAAAAAACCACAAAGUAAAGUUGAACACAGUUCAAUCGAAAAGCUAGGCAGCUGGCAUGAAGGAUUUAUGGAGGUGGAAAGGUGAUCACCAAUUUAUAUGAAUAUAUUUGUUGUACCAUGUAAAUAGUCAAAGUGUAAGUCUUUACCAAUUGCCAAGAGCUCAAAAGACCUGGUUCCAAAGGAGGCUACACUGAGCUGACCUUGGAUGAUUGUUCCUUAGGAUCGUCCCAAGAUGCUGGGUUUAGCAGGAGAGAGGAUAUGCAAGUCGUAUGCGCAUCCAGCUCAGGUGAAAAUGUUCAAUGGAGAUCUAUGAAAGCCAGGUGGCUUCAAGUCUGGCGAACAACUUAAAACGGAAGACAGGCAGGAGCCAGGGGACCGUUCCCAAAGAGAGAUGGAGUGUUUAUUUCCGUUGAAGCUGAGCAUCAGAAAAGAACUCUCUUUGGGGACGGGGAAAUUUAACUGGCAGGGCUGUCACAACUGGGACUGGAAUCCAGGGUCCCGCAGAAACACGGCACUGGCGGUCAGGAAGAAGGGUGUGGCCUGCGGCUGGCUGGACAAAGAAGAGUGGGACUUGGCCAGAAUGGGGCAGAAAUUGGGAUGACGACGAUGGAGGAGAACAAGAUCUGGCUGGUGAGGCUGGACAGAGCGCUCCACACGUGGAAUCUGAGUUACCGGAACCAAUUGGCAGAAAGUUUUUACAAGAAUGAAAAUAAACACACCCAUGGUGCUAUAAAUAAAAGAUGAAUGGGGAGCCAGCUCAAAGGCAUGAAAACAUGGACCACCAGGCAGGCAGCCGUUCCAGGAACCACAGCUCAUCCCUGACAAUGGAGGUAUGGAUGGAUUAUAAUCGAGAAUUUUAAUUUCAUGUUUGGCAUCAUAAGGCUUAUUGUUAACACCAUUAAUUUGUAAACUUGAGACUUUGUGCAUUUGCUUUACUAUAAAAACUAGCACAGAAUUGCAGGUGCCAAUGUAAAGGCUGUACAUAAACUCAAGUAUCAUCAGAGUUUAAAUCUGGGGGGAAAAAAAAACCCACCUCCAAUGACAGCAAAACGCUUCCCAACGUAUUUUUGUACGUGUUAUUUAGCAUAUUCCAAAGAAAUAAUUUUAUUCAGAGUACACCGGCCUUUUAAUUUAAUGACCAUACUGAAUAAGCCCCAAAGAACCUCCAGGUGUAAGAGAAAACACACACAAGCUUCCAACAGAAUCAUCUUUCUCUUGGUUCAAUGUGCAGCCUGGAAGGAAAUUUGAAUUUGAAAUUUGACAAGCGCUUCCAUAGAAGACUUGAAAAAAUGAGCUUUGGGCCACUGGUUUAUGUCCUAAAGGGAUGGAGCUUAUAAGAAACAGUAGCAAAAGGGCACAAGAUGUGUUCAGGCCUCCAAGAUUUUAUAGUGUCAGGAGACACAUUUAAACUUACCAUGGUUUUUACACUAAUAAAUAUUUGUCGUGUGAUUUUUAUUUAAAUGGCAAAGUUUUAUUUUGAUUUCUUUGACUAUAUCAUGAUGCAGGACUAACUAUAAUUGUAUUUGUACAGAAAGUAGAAACACCCUUCCAGGAAUAAGAGUGGGUUUAAUGGAUAUAUAUAUCCUUGGAAGAAACAAAACUCAAAGGCCAGCAUCUUAUUAAGCCAAUAACUUAGUUCUGGGUCCCUAAAGCUACUUAUCUGUUUUUGCUGUUUAUGGAAGACAAAGCGUGUAGGUAUGAGCUGAGAAGAGUGAAGCUUUUGUUCUAAGGUUUUAACUCAACUCUGCAUUCGUGAGUGAGUGCCCCCUGCCCAGUGGUAUUUUUUCUCCUUGUUCCCUGCCCCUCUCCCUGAUCCUUCUCAGAAUUAAACACAUCUGAGUUUGAAUCCCAGUGACCGAGAGGAAGUUAUCCGAGUCUCUUCUUCAUCUGUAAAAAUGGGCAAGAUGACAUGACUUCACAGGGUGGUUGUAAAGAUUACAUGAAAUACAGUCCGCAAAGCCCCAGACAGGAGGUUGCCUGGGAAACUGGUACCAUCCGGCUCCUCCUCUGCUGCCGCUCGCUCCUUUCUCUUCUUUUUUCUUCUUGUCUUUUCCUUCUCUCUCUCUCUUUUUUAAAGUCUUUUUUUUUUUUCUGUCUUGUAUUCUCUAUAGUAUGUAGAAAUAUUUGGGGUGAAGUGGGCUCUGGGCCCCUCGGACUUAAGGAAAUGAUGAUUUAGGGAAAUUCAUAAACAAAUGAAUACUGGAGAUGUUCAGUGAUAGUGGAAAUGACUGGACUUGGCUCCUGAAAUCUCCAGGCUCCCAGGCUCCAGGCACCUUGUAAACAUCGCCAAGCGUGUCUUUGUUCAAAUCGCUGCAGUGUUUCGGAGUACUUACAAAAGAAUGCAUUUUAGGGGAGUCUCUCUGUGCUAGAUUUUCUACGAGUAGGAAUAACCUUUCCUCUCUUGAAGCUGGUUUAGAACCCAUGUGUGUUUUAAUUUUCCCACUACAUCCAAUGCUUGCGGUUUCAGUUUUGUUUAAGGAAGGCGAGACACAAACACACUAAGGGAAGCUGGGAGGUUUGCUUCUGGGGCUUUAACGAACUGACAGAAUCACCUCGUUGCUCUCUCUUCCCUGGGAUCCUGAUCUCCCCCAGGACUCAGGUUCCUCCUUUGAUGUCGCUUGGAUAUGUGGUCAGGGACAGAAAAGCGACAGAGGAGAAAAUAAUAGUAGGGGAACCUAAGGAGGAGUAUCUCCUGGAAAACCUACCCACCUUCCUCUCCAAAUCUUCAGAGAAGUUUGAAAACUGCUGGAACUGGCCGGACCCACGAGCCAGGGGCAGCUUUGUUUACAAAUCAGAAACACAGUAAUUCCCUGCUGACUGUUCUCCUUGCUUCUCUGAGACGUCUUUGUUUUUUGUUUGUUUUUGCUCUUUUUUUAGGGCCGCACCUGAGGCAUAGGGGUUGAA
Sus scrofa (pig) is the source of this 3853-nucleotide non-coding RNA. The record is from RefSeq and is a predicted model, not a curated record. NCBI's taxonomy places the organism in Eukaryota, Metazoa, Chordata, Mammalia, Artiodactyla, Suidae.